Molecule: non-coding RNA, 63 nt
Submitted as: unclassified sequences
Source: Rfam
GGCUCGCAAGAGCCCAAACAUAGCGGGGCGGAAAGCCUCGCAUUGCUAAACGGAAGACAGAAA